ACGAUGAAGAAAAGAAUUGAAGCUUCGGCAGAAAUUCAUUUCGGAUUAGUGGCAGACGGGUGAGUAACGCGUGAGCAACCUACCUCUUACAAAGGGAUAGCCUCGGGAAACCGGGAUUAAUACCAUAUAACAUUGCGACGAAGCAUUUCGAUGCAAUCAAAGCUACGGCGGUAAGAGAUGGGCUCGCGUCCCAUUAACCGGAUGGUGAGAUAACGGCUCACCAUAGUGACGAUGGGUAACCGGCCUGAGAGGGUGAACGGUCACACUGGAACUGAGACACGGUCCAGACUCCUACGGGAGGCAGCAGUGGGGAAUAUUGCACAAUGGAGGGAACUCUGAUGCAGCGACGCCGCGUGAGUGAUGAAGGAAUUCGUUUCGUAAAACUCUGUUCUAUGGGAAGAAAAGGACUGUACCAUAGGAGAAAGCUCCGGCUAAAUACGUGCCAGCAGCCGCGGUAAUACGUAUGGAGCGAGCGUUGUCCGGAAUUAUUGGGCGUAAAGGGUGCGCAGGCGGCUUUACAAGUUGGAUGUGAAAUAUUGUGGCUCAACCACAAACGUGCAUCCAAAACUGCAAAGCUUGAGUUAAGGAGAGGUAAGUGGAAUUCCUGGUGUAGCGGUGGAAUGCGUAGAUAUCAGGAGGAAUACCGGUGGCGAAGGCGACUUACUGGACUUAAACUGACGCUCAGGCACGAAAGCGUGGGGAGCAA
Molecule: ribosomal RNA, 706 nt
Filed under: uncultured Eubacteriales bacterium
Lineage: Bacteria; Bacillati; Bacillota; Clostridia; Eubacteriales
Description: bacterial SSU rRNA
Rfam family: Bacterial small subunit ribosomal RNA
Source: RNAcentral